Molecule: ribosomal RNA, 452 nt
Filed under: Acinetobacter lwoffii
Lineage: Bacteria; Pseudomonadati; Pseudomonadota; Gammaproteobacteria; Moraxellales; Moraxellaceae
Description: bacterial SSU rRNA
Rfam family: Bacterial small subunit ribosomal RNA
Source: RNAcentral
CAUGCAAGUCGAGCGGGGAAAGGUAGCUUGCUACCUWACCUAGCGGCGGACGGGUGAGUAAUGCUUAGGAAUCUGCCUAUUAGUGGGGGACAACAUCUCGAAAGGGAUGCUAAUACCGCAUACGUCCUACGGGAGAAAGCAGGGGACCUUCGGGCCUUGCGCUAAUAGAUGAGCCUAAGUCGGAUUAGCUAGUUGGUGGGGUAAAGGCCUACCAAGGCGACGAUCUGUAGCGGGUCUGAGAGGAUGAUCCGCCACACUGGGACUGAGACACGGCCCAGACUCCUACGGGAGGCAGCAGUGGGGAAUAUUGGACAAUGGGGGGAACCCUGAUCCAGCCAUGCCGCGUGUGUGAAGAAGGCCUUUUGGUUGUAAAGCACUUUAAGCGAGGAGGAGGCUACCGAGAUUAAUACUCUUGGAUAGUGGACGUUACUCGCAGAAUAAGCACCGGCUAA